Non-coding RNA from Rattus norvegicus (Norway rat), 729 nucleotides. The record is from RefSeq and is a predicted model, not a curated record. Lineage: Eukaryota; Metazoa; Chordata; Mammalia; Rodentia; Muridae.
UCGCCAAGGGAGCGGCACUAUUAGAAGCUGUGGCCUUGUUGAGGAAGUGUGUCACUGUAGGGGUGGGCUUGGAGACUCUCCUCCUAGCUGCCUGGGGAUGCUCAUUCUGUUCCCAACUUCCUUCAGGUGAAGAUGUAGAACUCAGCUCCUCCUGCACCAUGCCUGCCUGGAUGCUGCCAUGCUCCUGCCUUUGACGAUAAUGGACUGAACCUGUGAACCUGUGAAGAUGUAGAACUCAGCUCCUCCUGCACCAUUCCUGCCUGGAUGCCGCCAUGCUCCUGCCUUGAUGAUAAUGGACUGAGCCUGUGAACCUAGCUGGGGACCGAACCCAAGGCCUUGCGCUUCCUAGGAGGAUGCUUCUGGGAUGAUAUAAGUGCAAGAAAUGGAUCUCUAUCAUCUUUGUAGCAGAAGACUUGUUUUCACACAACUAAAGACAUGUUUUGCCCGGCCCGCAGCAGCUCUCUGCUCCCAGACCCCGUGGGAAAGAGACCUCACCGCCUGGUCAGGUGGGCACUCCUGAGGCUGCAGAGCGGAAGAGACCACCAACACUGCCCACCCCUGCCCACAUCCCUGGCCCAAGAGGAAACUGUAUAAGGCCUCUGGGCUCCUGUGGGGGAGGGCCCAGGAGCGGCAGGACCCCUGCCUGAGACACCGCCGGAACCUGAAGGAAACAGACCGGAUAAACAGUUCUCUGCACCCAAAUCCCGUGGGAGGGAGAGCUAAACCUUC